UACGUAGGGUGCAAGCGUUGUCCGGAAUUAUUGGGCGUAAAGAGCUCGUAGGCGGUCUGUCGCGUCUGCUGUGAAAACUCAGGGCUCAACCCCGGACUUGCAGUGGGUACGGGCAGACUAGAGUGUGGUAGGGGAGACUGGAAUUCCUGGUGUAGCGGUGAAAUGCGCAGAAUAUCAGGAGGAACACCGAUGGCGAAGGCAG
RNAcentral lists this ribosomal RNA (202 nucleotides) under uncultured bacterium. Its description in RNAcentral is "partial 16S ribosomal RNA". It matches the Rfam family "Bacterial small subunit ribosomal RNA", at positions 524 to 724 of the family's 1533-position model. The record is from RNAcentral.